GACAGAGCACAAUUACUCUAGAGAAAGGGAAAGCAGAUGUUAGCAAGGUUCAUGAGUGCACCUGGCAGUGAAAAAAAGAGCAUAGUUAUGCGUAACACGACGGCUCUUCUAACCUGAAUGAACACAGUACACACAAAAGAGGCCACCAGUAACAGACAUGUAUUCUUUAUGAAGGAAAGUAGGAAAUCAUGAUUCGCUACAUGCUUUGAUGGAAACAUUGAUGUGCGCCAAAUACUUGGCUGCUCUUAUUGUAAUUUGUAAUUGUGAAUAGAAAGAUUUUCUCAACUUUCCAGUAUUCGGUGGUGACCAUCAAGAAGGUGCAGCAGCGUCGACAAAUGGAGUUCCUUCUGUAUCCGCUGGGCAGCGAUUGAUGUACCGACAACGGUGUCUGAACACCAAGCCGGAGUGCUGGCAAGGAAGGUGCCGUGGGGACCAUGUACCUGAGUGGGAGAGGUGGGAGCAGCUUCGAAGCAGUCUAUUUUUGAGAUACAAUUAGUGUGAGCAGAUGUGCUUUCGCCAAAAAACAACUCCUGACAAAUGGAACUUUGCGCUUAUGUACAGAGUCCUGUGCUACAUAUCACAAUGGAGCUAUUAUUUCUGCUGUGCCAUGUCCUCUUUGAUUGUUUGGAGGCUGACCUCCAGGAGGGUUUGCAACUUGCCCUUCGAUGGUCUCAUCUGCCGGCUCGUUUGGAGUGUGACAGCAGCGAUGCUACCAGGGCUGCUUCGCCUGACAGUUCUGUUCAUUUUCAUCAGAUUCAUCAAAUCCGGAAGCUUGUUGGAGAAAGGAAUUUUGUGGGUAGGAAUUUGUCUAGCUGUGAAAAUAUAACAUUCAGUUUGACUGACAUCUUGUUUGUGAUUUCGAUUUGUGAAUUAAGUGAUUUGUGUAAAGUGUAAACAUCCCACUUGGAUGCUGGUUGAAUCAUAUGAGGAUGAUAGUUCGUGUUAGGGCCUCUUUGGAUUGCAGGAAUUUAGAAACGUAGGAACAGAAAAAAAAAACAAAGGAUUGAGCUACCACA
Molecule: RNA transcript, 1016 nt
Organism: Lolium rigidum
Lineage: Eukaryota; Viridiplantae; Streptophyta; Magnoliopsida; Poales; Poaceae
Exons: 2
Source: RefSeq, a predicted model, not a curated record